AGUUUUUAGAUCUACUGAACAUCGUAUCCAAAUCUUUGGACUCCUCAAUGGCUACCAUCACAUGGUAAAAUUUUGAGUUGAGAGAACGAAAGAUUUUCUCAACAACACGAACAUCUUCUAAUUUUUCUCCAAGCCUUUUCAUUUGGUGCACUACCGCCAAAACUUUGGUGAAAUAAUCCGAAAUGGAUUUAGUCUCCUUCAUCAUUAGAGACUCAAACUCAGCCCUUAGAGUUUGAAGACGAACCUUC
This is a non-coding RNA of Arachis ipaensis, 248 nucleotides long. The record is from RefSeq and is a predicted model, not a curated record. NCBI's taxonomy places the organism in Eukaryota, Viridiplantae, Streptophyta, Magnoliopsida, Fabales, Fabaceae.